UACAGAGGUCUCGAGCGUUAGGCGGAAUCACUGGGCUUAAAGCGUGUGUAGGCGGAUCGGUAAGUACCUUGUGAAAUCCCACAGCUUAACUGUGGAACUGCUUGGUAUACUGCCAGUCUUGAGCCAGCUAGGGGCUACCGGAACAAAUGGUGGAGCGGUGAAAUGCGUAGAGAUGUGGAGGAACACCGAUGGCGAAGGCAGCCCCCUGGGCUAACACUGACGCUCAUGCACGAAAGCGUGGGAGCAAACAGGAUAGAA
Molecule: ribosomal RNA, 258 nt
Filed under: uncultured bacterium
Lineage: Bacteria
Description: partial 16S ribosomal RNA
Rfam family: Bacterial small subunit ribosomal RNA
Source: RNAcentral